AUUGAACGCUGGCGGCAGGCCUAACACAUGCAAGUCGAACGGUAGCACAGAGAGCUUGCUCUUGGGUGACGAGUGGCGGACGGGUGAGUAAUGUCUGGGAAACUGCCCGAUGGAGGGGGAUAACUACUGGAAACGGUAGCUAAUACCGCAUAACGUCGCAAGACCAAAGUGGGGGACCUUCGGGCCUCACACCAUCGGAUGUGCCCAGAUGGGAUUAGCUAGUAGGUGGGGUAACGGCUCACC
Molecule: ribosomal RNA, 243 nt
Filed under: uncultured Streptococcus sp.
Lineage: Bacteria; Bacillati; Bacillota; Bacilli; Lactobacillales; Streptococcaceae
Description: partial 16S ribosomal RNA
Rfam family: Bacterial small subunit ribosomal RNA
Source: RNAcentral